Molecule: long non-coding RNA, 126 nt
Organism: Sphaeramia orbicularis (orbiculate cardinalfish)
Lineage: Eukaryota; Metazoa; Chordata; Actinopteri; Kurtiformes; Apogonidae
Exons: 3
Source: RefSeq, a predicted model, not a curated record
AAAUACUAUUUAUGAAAUACUAUGUGUACUUUUGUAGCAGAGCGAGGUCUUUUUUUAAUGGUAUUUGAAAGAGCGUUGCACUUAACCAAGCGGAGUACUUAGUAGGGAUGUGGAGGAUGGCUUCAU